UGGGGAAUAUUGGACAAUGGGCGAAAGCCUGAUCCAGCGACGCCGCGUGAGUGAAGAAGGCCUUAGGGUUGUAAAGCUCUUUUAGUGGAGAAGAUAAUGACGGUAUCCACAGAAAAAGCCCCGGCUAACUUCGUGCCAGCAGCCGCGGUAAUACGAAGGGGGCUAGCGUUACUCGGAAUUAUUGGGCGUAAAGCGUGCGUAGGCGGUUAUGUAAGUUGGGAGUGAAAGCCCAGGGCUCAACCUUGGAAUUGCUUUCAAAACUACGUAACUUGAGUAUUGGAGAGGAUAGUGGAAUUCCUAGUGUAGAGGUGAAAUUCGUAGAUAUUAGGAGGAACACCAGAUGCGAAAGCGGCUAUCUGACCAAAUACUGACGCUGUUGCACGAAAGCGUGGGGAGCAAACA
This 402-nucleotide ribosomal RNA is filed under the name uncultured bacterium. Its description in RNAcentral is "bacterial SSU rRNA". It matches the Rfam family "Bacterial small subunit ribosomal RNA", at positions 355 to 774 of the family's 1533-position model. The record is from RNAcentral.